GCAGACCUGAACCAGCUGUCAUUAGUAAAACUAGACCGUUACAGAGAAGAUUAGUAUGGCCCCUGCGCAAGGAUGACAUGCAAAUUUGUGAACCAGCUGUCACUGAC
This is a small nuclear RNA of Protopterus annectens (West African lungfish), 107 nucleotides long. Lineage: Eukaryota; Metazoa; Chordata; Ceratodontiformes; Protopteridae. The record is from RefSeq and is a predicted model, not a curated record.